Molecule: long non-coding RNA, 487 nt
Organism: Arabidopsis thaliana (thale cress)
Lineage: Eukaryota; Viridiplantae; Streptophyta; Magnoliopsida; Brassicales; Brassicaceae
Product: other RNA
Exons: 1
Source: RefSeq
GAAAUGAAUUGUCAUCAUUUAAAGAGACACACAAAAGGUUGCAUAGAGAAACAUAGAGAUUAGUCAACUACCUUGAGAGUUAAGAUUCAGAGGAAGAAAGGUGAGGAAGAUGAUGGAGAACACUGUUCGGAGAUUGAAUCUCCGCCGUCUCUUGGAACUCAUAGGAGAUUGAUUUCUUUGCUUCUGUGGUUGUUUCCGAAAGAAGGAAGAAGGAAGAGAAUAUUGGAGGAGCAGUUGAAUUCGUCGUUGAGGAUUAAGAAGACUAAUCAACGGUUGAUGCUCUUUCAACCUUUGUUUAAUUAUCGUAAACCCAACGACCAAUUUUCAUUACUCUCUUAAGAUUUUUCUUUUCUAAAAGAAACAACAGUUUGAAGUUUAUUAUACACACUUGUGCAAGUUGCUUAACAAAGUCAUAGAAUUUAAAUCAUGAUAAGUUUCUUUUACCAAAUUUUUACCUAAUAAAUAUGUUCUUGAUUUUGUAGACUAA